RNAcentral lists this ribosomal RNA (802 nucleotides) under uncultured bacterium. Its description in RNAcentral is "bacterial SSU rRNA". It matches the Rfam family "Bacterial small subunit ribosomal RNA", at positions 1 to 808 of the family's 1533-position model. The record is from RNAcentral.
CGCCCUUAGAGUUUGAUCCUGGCUCAGGACUAACGCUGGCGGCGUGCCUAAUACAUGCAAGUCGAACGGUCGUGCGUUUGUAGCAAUAUGGACGUACGAUAGUGGCGAACGGGUGAGUAACACGUGGAAAACCUACCCUCGAGCGGGGGAUAACUCCGGGAAACUGGGACUAAUACCGCAUGACAUCCCAACCUGGCAUCGGGAGGGGAUCAAAGCCGAAAGGCACUUGAGGAUGGUUCCGCGGCCUAUCAGCUAGUUGGCGGGGUAACGGCCCACCAAGGCGACGACGGGUAGCCGGCCUGAGAGGGCGAUCGGCCACAAGGGGACUGAGACACGGCCCCUACUCCUACGGGAGGCAGCAGUAGGGAAUUUUGCUCAAUGGGGGAAACCCUGAAGCAGCGACGCCGCGUGGGCGACGAAAUCCUUCGGGAUGUAAAGCCCUUUUAACCGGGACGAAAUACAUGACGGUACCGGUGGAAUAAGCCUCGGCUAACUCCGUGCCAGCAGCCGCGGUAAGACGGGGGAGGCAAGCGUUGUCCGGAAUCACUGGGUGUAAAGGGCGUGUAGGCGGGCCGGCUAGUCGGUUGUUAAAUCUCUCCGCUCAACGGAGAAGCUGCGGCCGAUACUUCCGGUCUUGAGUGCGGCAGGGGAGGAUGGAAUUCCUGGUGUAGCGGUGAAAUGCGUAGAUAUCAGGAGGAACACCGGUGGCGAAGGCGGUCCUCUGGGCCUGCACUGACGCUGAGUGCGCGAAAGCUGGGGUAGCAAACAGAAUUAGAUACUCUGGUAGUCCCAGCCCUAAACG